This 565-nucleotide small RNA is filed under the name Pongo abelii (Sumatran orangutan). RNAcentral describes it as "retained intron". The record is from RNAcentral. Lineage: Eukaryota; Metazoa; Chordata; Mammalia; Primates; Hominidae.
ACUGCGGCUCCUGCUGCCGCCGCCGCUCGGCCUCAGGCAGCUGCAUCCUCGGCCGGGCCGGGUCCCCGCCCCGCGCCGCGCCCGGCCCCGCCAUGGUGUCCUGGAUCAUCUCUCGCCUGGUGGUGCUCAUCUUUGGCACCCUGUACCCAGCCUAUUCUUCCUACAAGGCCGUGAAGACAAAAAACGUGAAGGAAUAUGUGAAAUGGAUGAUGUACUGGAUUGUCUUUGCCUUCUUCACCACGGCCGAGACGCUCACGGAUAUAGUGCUCUCCUGGUUCCCCUUCUACUUUGAACUGAAGAUCGCCUUCGUGAUAUGGCUGCUGUCCCCUUACACCAAGGGCUCCAGCGUGCUCUACCGCAAGUUUGUGCACCCAACGCUGUCCAACAAGGAGAAGGUUUGCCCCCACUCUCAGCUCACCUCCCAGCCUGCCCCCAGCCAAGGCAGUCCAGAGCCUGCAGCCUCAUACAGACUGGCCCUCCCUGUGGGGCCCAGAGCCCAAAGUGACCUGGCAGAGCUGCCGUGGCCUCCUGGAGCAGGCAGGGGCCUCUGUCCAGGGGUGAACAA